This is a long non-coding RNA of Rattus norvegicus (Norway rat), 2088 nucleotides long. RefSeq lists it as uncharacterized. The record is from RefSeq and is a predicted model, not a curated record. NCBI's taxonomy places the organism in Eukaryota, Metazoa, Chordata, Mammalia, Rodentia, Muridae.
CUACAGCCUGGCCAAUACCUUGUGCAGCCAAGUCCAUCCUGGAGCACCUUAGGAAGGCUUUAAUAUGCCUGUCCCCCAGUGACCAGUGCUGCCAUCCUUGCACUGACUUGCAUAUCGUUUGAAUGGCCUUCCUUGAUCUGUUCAGAUCUUUUGCUCAUCUCUACCUUGGUUUAUCGUUCCUUCGCUUUCUCCAUUUCUUCCCACUCUGCCUUCCACUUUACCCCCUUUCCUUCUUUUCUUUUUCUUUUUGGACAGCAUUUGCCAAGGUUGGUUUCAAACAUCGAGCUCCUGCCUCUGCCUCCUGAGUGCUGGGUUAUAGGUGUGUACCAAUAUGCUUAGGAAUUGUCUAUCUUUUUAAUCACUAUGUUUUGGGGGCACUUUAUAUAUUCUACACACAAGUUCUUUAUGAAUGUAUGAUGUGUCAAGUUUUCUCCCAUGGUAACAACCUAAGGAGUUUUGUGAUCAAGCCUAAUUUAUCUCUUUACUAUUCUGUGAAUGUGCUUCCAAUGUGCUAUGAAAGAUGUCAGGCCUAAGUCACAAUGGUUUUCCUCUGUGAGAUUGCAAGGUCUUGCCCCUCCUUUGUGAUCUCGAAGCCACUGUGAGUUGAAUUUUUGUCACAGUGCACAGUGUGGCGAUGCUUGUCUUUCUUAUGACCAUUUCCCCUUUACAGAAAAGAGUGAGGACAUUCAAAGAUUUGCCCAAAGGUCACAGAGUUCACAUCUAAACUCAGGUUCGCAAGUCAGCUUUGCAGGCAUUCGCUUCAGUUCUUUGUUUUGUUUGAGAAGGCCUCGCUAUGUGACAGGGGCUCACUAUAUAGACCAAGCUGCAUCAGACUUACAAAGACUCACUUGCCUCUGCCUCACCAGUGCUGGGAUUAGCAGUGUGAGCCGCCACACCCAUCUCCAAACAUCUUCAAUCAAGAAUAACCACCGUUCUUCGCUGGAGUCAACUCAAAGCUCUACUUUGUAGUAGGUGGACAGAAUGAUUUUGGAGGCAGCUGCAAUUUAGAACAAGCAUGGCACGAUGGUUUAUUUCCAGCAGGUCAAAGAAACCUUCCUGAACGUUUUCCAACACAGCCACACACAUGCUUGUAUCAUGCCUGAGCUCUGCAGAAAACAUGACUAUUCUAAAGGUCUGCGACAUGAAGCCAUUUGCCAAGAGCUGGGUGGAGUAGAAGAAAAUCCCUGGAAAGUCACCAGAAGAGCCCUCCACCAGCCGGACCUCCUUCCCAGUGGAAUGGUUUUCUACCCACACGUGAACAGUCUCAGACUGUCCUACCAAGGUUCGUCAAGAUCUGACUGUGCCUUCCAGAAAGGGCAUCUCUGUGUGCACAGCACAUGUGAAGCCAGUGUUCUAUGGCUUGCACAUUUGGUUUUUUUAAGAGCAAACCAAUCUGUGAGUCCAGUCAAGUACAUCAACACUAAGGUGGAAGGAAACUUGAAGGGGAGGUUCUCAUAGAUUCCCCAUUCCUGAACCCUUGGAGUCCCUAAAGGUAAGCAUUGGCUCCAGCCCUGACAGUUCCCGGCUGUCCCUAUGGGGAGGGAGCUCCAGAACCUCCCUGUCUUUCACCAAGUCAAGCUGCCCUGGGGGAGGUGACUCGUAUUUCCUUCAAUAAGAAUUAAAAUAGAGGGGGUUGGGGAUUUAGCUCAGUGGUAGAGCGCUUGCCUAGCAAGUGCAAGGCCCUGGGUUCGGUCCCCAGCUCCGAAAAAUAGAAAAGAAAAAAAAAAAAGAAUUAAAAUUGAGAGAGAGAGAGAGAGAGAGAGAGAGAGAGAGAGAGAGAGAGAGAGAUAUCCUUGGUUGCUUUUCUGUUCUGUGUUGUUUCUACAUUUCUGUUUCAUUACAAUUAAACAAACAAACAAACAAAAAAAGCAUAAAGUCCAGGCCACAGGCUGGGGAACAGUAUCUGCAAAAUAUGUAUCUUCCUGAGACUGGUACCCAAAGUGAUCCAAAGACUCACUGGUAAGAAAGUAUCUUGCAAGCUUGUGAAGGGGGAAAGCUCCGAACUCGCUUUCGUCACUAGGACACACGGAAGGGGAAAGCAGCUCCCACAAAGUAUCCUCUGGCGUGUGUACACCACCUCCCCAAAAA